CGACCUGCCGCACUCAGGUACCCCCGGCCCCGCCGCCUGCAGCCCCCCGAGGCCUCCUAGCGCCGUAGCUGGUGACAAAUAGCCUUUACCGUCCCCUCCAGCUCCCACUGACAGGUCUGAAGCCUUUCUGCUUUUGAUAAUACACUCUCUUGUUUCUCUUACUGUAAAGGGAAGUUUAUAACCAAUAAAAAAAAAAGGGUAUUUUUAUGAAGAUAAAAAAAAAAUAAUUAUAUAUAUAUAGAAUUAUCAGUGCUCCCUGAGAAAAAACAACAAACAAACGUGCUUUGAGAUUCUGCAGGAUAAAAAGAGAUAAAGAAGCGUAUUUUGAGAUAACAGAUGCAUUUUGUAUGGUUUCCUUUUCUAAACUCCUGGUUUGUACUACAGAUUGCAGAAAUCACUCCCCAGCCCCCCUCCUGCCCGCCUAGGGCAGCCCUGGGCGGCAGUGGAGGAUGAGGCAGAGAAUUCACCCGGGGCUCCAGAGCCUCACGACCAACUCCAAAGAUGCGGCAAAGAGACGGGCGGAGCGAGGGGUCCCUCCCGGCCGGGACACGGAGCCGGCACCGGCAGCAGCACCCCCAGAGCGAGACCCGCGCACGGCUCAGGGCAGCGCAUCCUCAGCCGUGCUCUCGGUGCGAGAAAAAAACCCCCCGAACCAUCGAGAGUUAAUUUCAGUUCCUCCCGAGCCCCUGUUCACAUCGGCGGGCACAGGCACAACCUGCUGAGAACAACAACGAGACCAUGGCACAGAUUUAACCUCCAGCCCCAGGGGAUCCGACACCCCGCGCAUCCGGCCCGCAUCGGCAGUUCUGACAAUGCACUGUUUCUACGGAUUCUCAUGCUUUUUCCAUUUUAUUGCUGGGAUUACAUGAAUUGUUGACUUUAUUUUUACACAAUAAAGCGUGAAGAAAGACA
Molecule: long non-coding RNA, 912 nt
Organism: Cyanistes caeruleus (blue tit)
Lineage: Eukaryota; Metazoa; Chordata; Aves; Passeriformes; Paridae
Source: RefSeq, a predicted model, not a curated record